This 70-nucleotide transfer RNA is filed under the name Salmo salar (Atlantic salmon). It matches the Rfam family "tRNA". From Rfam's summary of the family: Transfer RNA (tRNA) molecules are approximately 80 nucleotides in length. The record is from Rfam by way of RNAcentral. Lineage: Eukaryota; Metazoa; Chordata; Actinopteri; Salmoniformes; Salmonidae.
UCCUGUGUAGCUCAGUUGGUAGAGCAUGGCGCUUGCAGCGGCAGGGUUGUGGGUUCGAUUCCCACGGGAG